UUUUAAUUUUUAUUUUGUAUUUAUUUGUUUUCCCCCCUUCUUCCCAAAAUCGCAUGUCUUCGCAGCCCGCCUGGGAGCCUCCCCCGGGCGGAGCUGCCGCUGAGCAUGCCUCUGCCGCAGGGACACCCAGUGUUACUCAGGCAUGAAAAAAAUAGUCAAGAACAGAUGGGAAUUUUGUCUUCUGUGUUGUGAAGUCCCACACAGUCCCCCUUCUUUUAUUUUUGUUUGCAAGAAGGAUUACUUCAGAAAGACCCCCAUUGUCAGAAGAAACAAUGGGUGAUGCUGGAACUGACUGGUAGCCAACUGCUGGUGGCGCUUUGCUCUGAAGGAAGAGACCAUGUUCAAGCACCUUUUUAAGACAUCUUCUGUUUUAAGCCUCCAAAAAGAUCAUCUAACAUAAUACUAGAUUUAAAUAGCAAAGCUGAAUUUGAGGUGAUUGUUCUCUGCUUGAUUUUGCUGCCUUGGAGAUCUGUGCAAAAUUGACCACUGAAUAGACAGUGUAGUAAAACAUUCAUGUGUUACAAUACAGUAUUUCAUGUCUGCAUUAACAUCAAAGAACUACCUCAGAUGAAUGAAGAUCACAAGGAUUGUUCAUGAGAUGAUUUGAAUUGUAAUGGAGGGACACUUCUGUGAAACUGCUAGAGGACUUCAGAGUAGGGCAUCUGACUUCUCUGUCUUCUUC
This 682-nucleotide long non-coding RNA is filed under the name Apteryx rowi (Okarito brown kiwi). Its description in RNAcentral is "lncRNA (ENSARWG00000008720.1)". Lineage: Eukaryota; Metazoa; Chordata; Aves; Apterygiformes; Apterygidae. The record is from RNAcentral.